RNAcentral lists this non-coding RNA (26 nucleotides) under Rattus norvegicus (Norway rat). The record is from RNAcentral. Lineage: Eukaryota; Metazoa; Chordata; Mammalia; Rodentia; Muridae.
AUGCAAUUAACAGGACGCCAGCCAGG